This 440-nucleotide ribosomal RNA is filed under the name uncultured bacterium. RNAcentral describes it as "partial 16S ribosomal RNA". It matches the Rfam family "Bacterial small subunit ribosomal RNA", at positions 338 to 795 of the family's 1533-position model. The record is from RNAcentral.
CCUACGGGUGGCAGCAGUGGGGAAUAUUGCACAAUGGGGGAAACCCUGAUGCAGCGACGCCGCGUGAGUGAAGAAGUCCUUCGUUAUGUAAAGCUCUAUCAGCCGGGAAGAAAAUGACGGUACCUGAGUACGCAGCCCCGGCUACCUACGUGCCAGCAGCCGCGGUCAUACGUAGGGGGCAAGCGUUAUCCGGAUUUACUGGGUGUAAAGGGAGCGUAGACGGCAGUGCAAGUCUGGAGUGAAAGGCGGGGGCUCAACCCCCGGACUGCUCUGGAAACUGUACGGCUGGAGUGCAGGAGAGGUAAGUGGAAUUCCUAGUGUAGCGGUGAAAUGCGUAGAUAUUAGGAGGAACACCAGUGGCGAAGGCGGCUUACUGGACUGUAACUGACGUUGAGGCUCGAAAGCGUGGGGAGCAAACAGGAUUAGAUACCCUGGUAGUC